AACGCACAUUGCACUCCUUGGUAUUCCGAGGAGUAUGCCUGUUUCAGUAUCAUGAGCACUCUCACAUCUAACCUUUGGGUUAAAAUGUGGAAUUGGGAUGCGCCGGUUAUUAUAACGGCCCUCCUAAAAUUCAGUUCUUGGCUGCUUCCUACUACAGCAGUUUGGCCUAAUAGUUUUGAGUCUUCGAUUCAAAUCUUUGGCUAACAUUUGCUUCAGGAUGUCAGUCUUGAUAUACAGAAAUCUCAUUCAAACUUUGAUCUGAAAUCAGGUAGGGCUACCCGCUGAACUUAA
This 291-nucleotide unclassified non-coding RNA is filed under the name Umbelopsis sp. Its description in RNAcentral is "partial contains 5.8S ribosomal RNA, internal transcribed spacer 2, and large subunit ribosomal RNA". The record is from RNAcentral. Lineage: Eukaryota; Fungi; Mucoromycota; Umbelopsidomycetes; Umbelopsidales; Umbelopsidaceae. RNAcentral also lists the same sequence under 2 other names.